RNAcentral lists this ribosomal RNA (465 nucleotides) under uncultured bacterium. RNAcentral's name for it is "partial 16S ribosomal RNA". It matches the Rfam family "Bacterial small subunit ribosomal RNA", at positions 338 to 795 of the family's 1533-position model. The record is from RNAcentral.
CCUACGGGGGGCAGCAGUGGGGAAUAUUGCGCAAUGGGCGAAAGCCUGACGCAGCGACGCCGCGUGAGGGAUGAAGGUCUUCGGAUCGUAAACCUCUGUCAGCAGGGAAGAACGGUCACUGUGCUAAUCAGCAGUGAAUUGACGGUACCUGCAAAGGAAGCACCGGCUAACUCCGUGCCAGCAGCCGCGGUAAUACGGAGGGUGCGAGCGUUAAUCGGAAUUACUGGGCGUAAAGCGCUCGUAGGCGGUAUGUCAAGUCAAGGGUGAAAUCCCCGCGCUCAACGUGGGAACUGCCUUUGAAACUGGCAAACUGGAGUGUGUGAGAGGAUAGUGGAAUUCCAGGUGUAGGAGUGAAAUGCGUAGAUAUCUGGAGGAACAGCAGUGGCGAAGGCGACUAUCUGGCACAUAACUGACGCUGAGGAGCGAAAGCGUGGGUAGCAAACAGGAUUAGAUACCCUAGUAGUC